GACGAACGCUGGCGGCGUGCUUAACACAUGCAAGUCGAACGGUAAGGCUCCAGCUUGCUGGGGUACACGAGUGGCGAACGGGUGGGUAACACGUGGGUGACCUGCCCUGCACUUCGGGAUAAGCCUGGGAAACUGGGUCUAAUACCGGAUAGGACCAUGGUGUGGAUACUGUGGUGGAAAGUUUUUUCGGUGUGGGAUGGGCCCGCGGCCUAUCAGCUUGUUGGUGGGGUAAUGGCCUACCAAGGCGGCGACGGGUAGCCGGCCUGAGAGGGUGGACGGCCACAUUGGGACUGAGAAACGGCCCAGACUCCUACGGGAGGCAGCAGUGGGGAAUAUUGCACAAUGGGCGGAAGCCUGAUGCAGCGACGCCGCGUGGGGGAUGACGGCCUUCGGGUUGUAAACUCCUUUCACCAUCGACGAAGGGUUUCUGACGGUAGAUGGAGAAGAAGCACCGGCUAACUACGUG
This 466-nucleotide ribosomal RNA is filed under the name uncultured bacterium. Its description in RNAcentral is "partial 16S ribosomal RNA". It matches the Rfam family "Bacterial small subunit ribosomal RNA", at positions 28 to 507 of the family's 1533-position model. The record is from RNAcentral.